AGGAGGCAGGAUUAGAUUGCAGCUCUGACUCAGAGCAGCGUGCGGAGGCUCGCAUUGUGAAUUUUAGCUCCAGAUAAACUUCAAGAACAAACCAGCAAUCCUGAGAGGACCCACAGACCCUCUGAAAAAAGCGGACUGUUCCUGCAACACCCAGGAGACACCCCAAAUACUGUGAGUGACCCAACUGCGGAAGCGGGAAAGGGAGAUCCUCCUCUCCUGAACACACACCCCCACUGGAGAAACUGAAGGUCUGUUUGUGGGAGAGGUUUCUGACCUUACCUGGAGCUGAGUCAAUUUAGAGGGCCAAGCAAAAUACAGGGAGGAAGCAGCAGGUGGGAUCUCGCUGGGUUCCCAAGCAAGUCAUUCCUGCCUGGCACCACAGGGAUCCUCUGGGAGGCAGCCAGAGGAGUAGGGGGAAAUCACCACAGGGAAGAAGGUCUCCAGCUGAACUUUGUAACAAUUUGAACUGGGCAAGAAGCUGAAUCCGGUGUGCAACCUCCACAGAUGAAGAAUCUGAGGCACAAAGAGGUCAACUGGCUUGCCCAAGGGUACUUGGCAGACUGACACUAGAAGAAAUAUUUUAAAAAAUUACUUGAGUGGAAGAAUAUGAUAAUACACAGGAACUUGGAUCCACAAAAAGAAAGAAAGUUCUUCAGAAACAGCUAAAAAGAAACCCCCAUUUCCCAUCUGAGCACCAGCCACAUGACCACCUCUGUAUUGAACAUCUGGACUUUCAACCUGGAUACCCCAGGGGCAUCUCAAAUCAACCUGUCUGGCCUAGACUCAUCCAUCUCCACGUUGCCCUACGUAGACCUGCUUCUCCUCCUGCAUUCCAUAGCUAUCAGAAAUCUCUUGCCUGGAUUAUAGAAACAACACUUGGAAGCCUCAUUUCAGUGAUUGCAGCUUUUGCCCUUAUAUCCGUCCAACUGCACUGAAGCCAAGUUUCUGCAGAACUGGAAGACUGGUUUCUGGGAACCUGGUGAUUGGUCAGUCCAAGUCCAAAGUGGUUGCUCUUCAUGGAUUUGCACAAGUAAAUAUCAACAUUUCAGGCCAACAUUACUUUGUGAAUGCCAAUCCCUGGGCAUAAAUUUUUUUCCCAGCCCCUAUGUUCUUCCCUACCACCAGCCCGACUCAGCACCUGGUGAAAUCUCACUCUGGCUUCCAGGUCCAGCUCAUAUACUUCCUCCUCUGUGCAUCCUUCCCUCACACCCACCCUUCUCCAGUGCAGUUCAUUAUGUCCUCUGCAGUGUACACAGAGGACAUACAUCCCUCUAACAUUGUGGUUACCCUGCUGUGUGCUGAAAGCCACCCUGGUAUCUGCUUGUUUCUCUCUUUUGCACUUGAUGAAAUAUUCACAGGUGGUCACAGUCUCAGUCACCACUGUUUUCAGUAUCAAGCUUGGUGCUGAACAAUUGCUCAGUAAAUGUCCAUCAGAUGAACAGUGGGUACCUACUUGGGAAAACAUAAUAAAAUGUAUUUGUCCUAUCACCUAACUUUAUUUACAAAGGAAUUUUAAAUAGAAUCAUAAAGCGUCAGAAUAGGAAAGAAACCAUGAAGUCACCAGAGGAAGUGGUGGUAACUGUUUCCCAGUGAAAAUCCCCAAAUAGGUUUAUGUGGGCAAAUGAGAAGGAACCUUGGAAAGAUUCCACUGGAAGGCAUUUUGAUUUCCCAGAGUGGGCUGGCCCCUGUAAUGCAAACACAGAUCUGAUCAUGAGCUCUGAGCCGAGCAGACUUGCUCUUUUUGAACCUCCUCCUGCUAGGAUUCCUUGGGCCCUUCAAGGGGCACUCCCAGACUAGGGUAACAGGGGUUUCUCCCACUACAGAAGUGUGGAAUAUUAUGGAAUACUAUAAAGUGACUCUGUUCCCUCCAACCCCUUCACUUCCCGCUUACCUCUCCAUCCACUCUGCCCCCAUUGACUGAUUUCUUCUGGUUCUGAGGAAGUCUCUCCUCCUGACUCAGGAUCAAGGCCAGUCUCAGGCCCUGCACCACCAUCAUUCUCCAUGCCACAGGAGCACCCUCCACUCCUAGGCCCUGCGUGUGGUGGCUGAUCACUACAUGCUUAGCUGGGCCUAGCACAAUGCUGACGCAGGGACAUAUCCUUCUUCACUCUCUGGCAACCCCCUGGACGCAUCUGCCCUUUCAGGAUUUUGUUUCUGACAGUCUACCUCCAGCUGGCUUCUUUUCACUAGUUUCAGCAGAUUUAGGCUGGGUCUAGGUUUAGGGCUCCUGAGAAGUCUCAUUCCCCCUUCCUUCCCUGUGGGAAGGCCGUUUCUUACUUCCUACUGAAGAUGAGAUGUCUUCUCUAGAUUUUAUAGCUCAAAUGUCAAAUAAGGUGGGGUUUAGGCCUUGGGAUCAGCAUGAGGAGAUUUGACUGCCCUCGUUUCCCUCAUUCAAAGCUGUGCGGGUGUCCCCAGGAGCUUGCACCAGCUCUGCCCCAUCUGAGAAUUCCCUUCUGAUUCUCUGUUCAACUUCUUCCAAUUAAUGUGCUCAGGUUGUGAAUAUCACUAUGGGGCUUAAAGCAGUUAAAUUCUUCAAAACAGCUUUUGACUUUUAGCUUCUGGGUUCUCAAAAGUCCCCCAACCCCACCAGCUCCAGGCCCUUAUAUGCAGUUUUUACCCCAUUUAUACACUGCCGUCUGAAACACAGCAGAAAUUGCAUUCAUCCCUCAGAGAGUGUGAAUGUUUUGAGAAAAUUACUCAGCAUUUAAAUGUCAAGAUAAUCAAGACCACACAGCCACAAAUAAUUACAUAAGGAUAGAGAAGAGGCAUCUCCACUACCCAGGCUGCCAGGGCCCUUCCCAGGGCCAGGGAGUCCAGCCCACACGUUUCUCAGGUAAAGAGGAAAUAAACAGCAGCAAUGGACCACGGCCCUACCCCCCAUGGAAGCUCCCCCUGACCUCUCCUGAGGUCUCAUCUGAGGCCCAUAAGUACUUAGACUGGAUGGAUAUCUCACCCUCAUAAAGCCCUCCAUGGCAAUCAGUUUUAUUUUGAAAAUUGUUCUACAUCUCCCCUCUGCUAAGACUUGAAAAAAAAAAAAAAGGAAAAUGCUUAAGGAAAUAUUGCAAUGCUCUUUGAGUCCUGAUGAAGCAGCCAUACUAAUUCACUUCUUCCUUGUGGGAGGUGGUGAAACACCACACAGCUGCUCAAAGCCUAUUUUGGAAGUGGAUGCUGGAGAGCAGCAGCCCCUGGGCACUCCCUCCUCUGAAGGCCUUCACUGUGUUUCAAAUGAAUUGGAGGACUUGAUUCAAGCAGGGAGAUAUUUUCCUGAUUUGUUUUUUAGUGUCAGGGCACUGGCAGCAACUGGAGAUGUUUAAAUUGUGAGACAUCAGGAAGUGAGAGCAUGAGUACUUACACAUAGAUUGGGGGAAGACUCCAACCACAGGAUUUGCAUUUAGAGAGAGGGCUGGGACUAAGAUAUCUGGAUUCCACAGGACCAUUUCUAUUUCAGAGAGAUAUCCUCCUAAUUAAUUUCUUUACAAAUAAAGAGCUGUCCUUAUCCUAAUUAUUAAAAGUGAAGACAGAAACACACUUAUGGCAGGGCGCGGUGGCUCACACCUAUAAUCCCAGCAGUUUUGGAGGCUGAGGUGGGCGGAUCACCUGAGGUUAGGAGUUCGAGACCAGCCUGGCCAACAUGGUGAAACCCCAUCUCUACUAAAAAUACAAAAAAUUAACUGGGCUUGGUGGUACACACCUGUAGUCCUAGGUACUUGGGAGGCUGAGGCAGGAGAAUUGCUUUAGCCUGGGAGGCAGACAUUGCAGUGAGCCGAGAUUGCACCACUGCACUCCAGCCUGGGCAACAGAGGAAGACUCUGUCUCAAAAAAAAAAAAAAACAAAAACAAACAAACAAAAAACAAAAAAAAAACAAAAGAAAGAAAAGAAAAAGAAAAACCCCCCAAAAACGAAACAAAACAAAACAAAAACACUUACGAUGUUCUUGUCAUGGUAAUUGAUAUAAAUUGUCACCUUGCCAAGGUGCCAAGCUCCAUCCUGCACACAGUGGGGAGAUAGCACUCCCACAAGCUCAGACCAAGAUCAGCUAAAUAGGGUACAUGCAAGUCAAUGGCAUCUUGGCAGCUGAGACAGUAGGUGCAUGGGGCAGUCAGAGAGAGUGAGAACUGAGCCUGGUGGUGAGUUGUCUAGGAAAUCAGCAGUCCAUCUACAUAAGGAAUCCACCCUCUAUGACUUUACUGCCUCAUGCACGAUAUUACAUCCUUUAAGGAAGCCUUUAAUUCAUCUAUUGUCAAAACAGUGAAGGCUCAUAAAACUCUUACAGCCCAUUCACACAACUUCUCUUUGAGAAUGCAGCUGGGCACUGAUUUGGUUGAUGGUGUCUGUCUUGAAGCUUCCUAAUCAGACUGCAAAUCUCCCCAUUAGCUCAUCAAUGACCAUGUUACAAAAUCUAUAAGUCAUUUCCCGGGCCUUGUCCUACUUGACCUAUCAGCAGCAUUUGACCUAGCAGACCAUGUGCUUUCCAGGAUACCAUAGUCUCCUGAGUUGGCUCGCCCCUUUUUAUGUCAUUCUUCUUCAUGGAGCUCUCAUUAACCUGAGCUCUAAAACAUUGCAGUCUCCUGGUUCUUAUAAUUCAUAGACCUCUAAGGUGCUGCAUGGAUUUACACUAGGGGGCACAUUCACAUAGAUAUCUUGGUGCUAUCUGGAGUUCUGCAAUGCCCAGUUAUUUACUAAACCAUUGCUGAAGCAUGAUCAUAGACCAAUCAAUGCUGGUCUACCAACUGUUUGCUGCCAGCUCACAACAAGACAAGGACAGAUAUUGAGAGCACUUAUUUAGAAACAUUUAGAGCAAAGUGACAGUGUUGCUGCAUCCACACUACCCCAGUUAGACUCUUCUAGUGUUCAUGAUCUGAUCAGGUACAGACCAGUUUGGGCAUUGUUGAACUCGUGGAGAGACACACGUGAUGUGAGCUGUGUACCGGGCAUGUGAAAUAGGAUAGAGUGUGAUAUUUUCACUUAAAUUAGUCGAGUGAAAGUACAUAAAAUCUGAAUCCAUGUCUUUUAUGGAAAAAUAAUUUCAAUAAAAAAUAAGUAACCCAACUGUAGUUAAUAAUAUUGUAUUGGAUACUUAUAAUUUACUGAGAGUAGAUCUUAAGUGUUCUCACGCACACACAAAAAAAGAUUAUUGUGAGGUGAUGAAUGUGUUAACUAGUUAACCUGCUUGUAUUAAUCAUUUUACAAUGUAUAGGUAUAUUAAAUACCAUGUUGUACACUUUAAAUAUAUACAAUUUUAUUUGUCAAUUAUACUUCAAUAAAGCUGAAAAAAUAUAAUUUAAAUCAACUAACAUGUUAUAGGAUAUGUCAUUGAAUGUGGCUGCUGCUGAAGAAUUGAAGAUGGAUAUUGAAAAUAUAACUUUCAUUUUACAUAAAGGCUAAAUAUGAAUAUCUUGAGCCUAGAGAAUUUGCUUUAAAAUUCUUUCUUCCAUACCCAUCAACCUAUCUCUUCUACCAUGAGUAAUAGUAAAACAAAACAUAGAAAUAAUUUAGGUACACCUUGUCCUCAAUAAGUACUCUUGUCAUCAAUCCAACUUAGAUAAGUUAACAAGGAAGAAGCAAAUUCAUUUGUCCCUUUAAAAAGUUAAAUGUUGAUAUACAGUGAAUGUUCAAAAUGUGUGUAGAGAUUUUGAAAAUGUGAAAUCACUGUCUCAUUCUUAAUGUUUUGCUUAGCUGUAUUUCAAAAGGAUAAAAAAUAAAUGCAAUGCUGUCACUAAUCACCUAUAUGCAUAAUUUCAAUGAGCAAUGCACAGUUUUGGUAAUUUUUUUCUACAUUGUGCUUUUCCUGAUUAUAUUAUUGAAAUGUAUUUUCAUAUCUGUUGAAUAUAUUAAUACAAAUUUGGGCUUGCAUUUUAUAUGUAUUUAUUUUUAUUUCAUUUUCUUUUUCUAGUAAUUUAUUUUAUUUUUACAGAAGUGUCAGACUGCAGUUGACUAGAAACUAACACACACACAGAUACACAUUUAUAGACCUCAGAGGCAAUGCAGCCCUGGAAUUGUGCUAGUCCUUCUAUUUUCUAUGUAUACUUACACUCAUGAUGAUAUCAUCAAAUUUCAUGUCCUUAAAUUCCAUCAAAAUGCCAAUGACUUCCAAAUGUGUCUCUUCAGCCCAGACUUCUCCCCUGAACUCAGCUUUGCUUGUCCAAUUGCCUACUUGACAUUUCCACUAGGAUGAGUAACCAAUCCAAAACUGAACUUUUGAUCUUCCCCUAUUCCCACUCAGGAUGCUCUCCUUGUGCAAAACUUCGUCAUCUCAGUAAAUGAAAAGAACAUCUUUCUAGGAGCUCAGGCGAAACGCUCAAGAGUCGUAGUUGACUCUUCUCUUUUUCUCACAGUUCACAUCUAGUCUCUAUUGAAAUUAUCUUGGCUCCACCUACGAAAUACAUCCAGAAUUUAACCACUUCUCACCACCUCCAUUUCCAUUAUGCUAAUCCUAGCAUGUAUCCCCCGUGUCUGGAUUACUGCAAUGAUCUCCUAAACAAUCUCUCUGCUUUCAUUCUGUCUUCCAGUCUCUUCUCAGCUGAGCAGCUAGAAUGAACACUUCAAAGCAAAAGACACUAUGUCACUUCUCUGCUCAAAUCAUUCCAUCUGACUCAGUCUAAAAGUCAAUUGCAAUGACCUUUCAUACCAUGGGUGGUCUGCUCUCUUCCUUUGUCCACUAGGACCCAACCACACUGGCUUCCUUAUUGUUCAUCACAUGCUUCUGCCUUGGGGGCUUUGCACUCAUUGUUUCCUAUUUCUACACUCUUUUUUUUUUAAUUUAAUUUUUACUUUAGAUUCAGGAGGUACAUAUGCAGGCUUAUCACAAGGUUAUAUUGUGUGAGUCUGCAGUUUGGGCUUCUAUUGAUCUUGUUACCCAGAGAGUGAACACAGUACUAAUAGAAAGUUUUUCAGCCCUGCGUCCCUCCCUUCUCCCAUCUUUUGGAGUCCCUCAUGUCUGUUGUUUUCGUCUUUAUGUCCAUAUGUACCCAAGGUUUAGCUCCCACUUGUAAAUAAGAACAUGUGAUAUUUGGUUUUCUGUUAAUUUGCUUAGGCAAAUGGCCUCCAGCUGCACCCAUGUUGCUGUAAAACACACGAUUUCAUUUCUGGUACAUUAUUGACCAACAGAUCCCCUUAGCUUGCUCUCCAGUCUCCUACAGGUAUUUGCCUAAAUGUCAUCACCUCAGUGAGGCUUUUUAUUUUUAGAACCUACGUAAAUUUGCAUCCCUCCGGCUUCACCUCUUCCCUUUUCCUGCAGUAUUUUUCUCCACAGAACUUAAUACUUUCUAAUACACUGUAUAAUUUACUUUUUAAAGCUUGUCACUAGAAUAUAAGCUCCACAAGGGUAAGAAUUUUAUAUCUUUUGUUCAUUGCUGACUUCCUAGCAUCUACAACAGAGGUUAAAACUCUAAUAAGUACGCGCCCUUCUAAUUAUGAGAUCUGUUAUUUGACUGUGAGCCCCUGAUGAGGAGAUGAAACGCACUGCAACAUUUUGACUGCUCUGCUUACCCCAGUGCCAUGCAAAGAACAAGGAUUCAUGCAUACUUAUUAAAAAAAUGAAUCAAGUCUGUCUGGGAACAUUGCAAAUAAUAAGAAUGUACCACCAGACCUCCUGGUUCCUAUUAUCUCAUUUUGAAGAUGAGACAUCUGCAAAGUCAAAAGAUUUCUCUGGAUGUGAGAGACAAACAGUAACUUCUGUGUAGUUCUGGGAAGGAGGCAUCAUAGAGCAGGUGUGUUUUGAGUUCCAGUCCUCAGCAAGAGAGAGAGAAAAAAGAUUACUCAUAGAGAGGUAGGAAAAGGUUUUAAUAAAGUAUAAUUUCCAAGAAUUUGAGUAAGUUCUCUUAGGCCUAAUAUCCCUUUCCAACUUUGAGGACUUGCCCUACUGUCAGAAAUCUCCACAUUUUCUUUACUCUUCUAAAAAGUAACAUCUAGAAGUGAAACUUCUCGCCCCCAUGAGAUUAAAAUUAUAUCAA
Molecule: long non-coding RNA, 7953 nt
Filed under: Homo sapiens (human)
Lineage: Eukaryota; Metazoa; Chordata; Mammalia; Primates; Hominidae
Description: HSALNT0028062
Source: RNAcentral